Corvus hawaiiensis (hawaiian crow) is the source of this 423-nucleotide long non-coding RNA. RefSeq lists it as uncharacterized. The record is from RefSeq and is a predicted model, not a curated record. Lineage: Eukaryota; Metazoa; Chordata; Aves; Passeriformes; Corvidae. The transcript has 3 exons.
GACAGUGCCCUCAGGGGGUGACAGUCCCUCAGGGGGUGACAGUCCCUCAGGGGGUGACAGUCCCUCAGAAGGUGACACUCCCUCAGAGGGUGACAGUCUCUCAGAGGGUGACGGUGCCCUCAGAAGGUGACAGCCCCUCAGAGGGUGACAGUCCCUCAGAAGGUGACAGCCCCUCAGAGGGUGACAGUCCCUCAGAGGUGACAGUCCCUCAGAAGGUGACAGUCCCUCAGAGGGUGACGGUGCCCUCAGAAGGUGACAGUGCCCUCAGAGGGUGACAGUGCCCUCAGAGGGUGACAGUCCCUCAGAAGGUGACAGUCCCUCAGAGGGUGACGGUGCCCUCAGAAGGUGACAGCCCCUCAGAAGGUGACAGUCCCUCAGAGGGUGACAGUCCCUCAGAAGGUGACAGUCCCUCAGAGGGUGACG